GAGGAAUAUUGGGCAAUGGGCGCAAGCCUGACCCAGCCAUGCCGCGUGCAGGAUGACGGCGCUAUGCGUUGUAAACUGCUUUUGUACAGGAAGAAACCCAUUUACGUGUAAGUGGUUGACGGUACUGUCAGAAUAAGCAUCGGCUAACUCCGUGCCAGCAGCCGCGGUAAUACGGAGGAUGCAAGCGUUAUCCGGAUUCAUUGGGUUUAAAGGGUGCGUAGGCGGAGUACUAAGUCAGUGAUGAAAUCCUGCAGCUUAACUGUAGAACUGUUAUUGAUACUGGUAUUCUUGAAUGCAGUUGAGGUAGGCGGAAUGUGUAAUGUAGCGGUGAAAUGCUUAGAUAUUACACAGAACACCGAUUGCGAAGGCAGCUUACUAAACUGUGAUUGACGCUGAGGCACGAAAGCGUGGGGAGCAAAC
RNAcentral lists this ribosomal RNA (420 nucleotides) under uncultured bacterium. RNAcentral's name for it is "bacterial SSU rRNA". It matches the Rfam family "Bacterial small subunit ribosomal RNA", at positions 356 to 773 of the family's 1533-position model. The record is from RNAcentral.